GGUUCUGCUCUUCAUCAUCUUCAUCUGCACAUUCAGCUCUCACGUCAGUGUGGCGUGGAGAUCUCAGACUGAGUUCAGUGUUUCUGGACGAGCGCUCUACAAACUGGACCUGUCCUGGCCCAAGUACCCAGAGUUCUUCACUGGACAGGUGUUUGCGGUGGCCGUCAAUCAUCUGGCGGGGCUGGUGUACGUGGCGCAGAGAGGUGAGAAUGUCCCUAAAGUGUUAGUGUUCAGCACAGACGGAGAGUUUCUUCAGGCCUGGAACUCCAGCACUCUGGAAAUGCCUCAUGGAAUCUUCCUGGCCGAUGCGUCCACCGAGCCCACACUCUGGGUCACCGAUGUGGGGAACGGGCCGUUCGGGCACACUGUAAAGCAGUACUCUCCAUCUGGGAAGCUGCUGCAGGUUUUGGGAACUCCAGGUACAGCAGGAUCGUCUCUCAGUCCGCUUCAGUUCGAUCAGCCGGCAGAGAUAUUCGUCCACAGCUCUGGAGAAAUCUACAUCGUGGACGGAGACGGAGGAAUGAAUAACCGCCUCAUCAAACUCUCCAAAGGUGACACUAACUAAAAUAUGAAUCAUUUAUUAAAACAUGCCGGUUUACCUU
Molecule: non-coding RNA, 602 nt
Organism: Danio rerio (zebrafish)
Lineage: Eukaryota; Metazoa; Chordata; Actinopteri; Cypriniformes; Danionidae
Source: RefSeq